Molecule: long non-coding RNA, 1236 nt
Filed under: Homo sapiens (human)
Lineage: Eukaryota; Metazoa; Chordata; Mammalia; Primates; Hominidae
Description: HSALNT0363148
Source: RNAcentral
UACUUCUUUUGUGGUGAGAACACAAAACCUCUCCGUAAUUUUCAAGAACAUAGUACAUUGUUAUUUACUAUAAUCACCAUGUUGUGCAAUAGAUCUGGUGAACUUAUUCCUCUAUUCCUCCUAACAGAAAUUUUGUACCCUUUGACCAACAUCUCCCUGACACCCCCCUGUUCCCCCCAACCGCCGUAACUGCCAUUCUACUCCCUACUCGUGGGUUCCAUUUUUUUAGAUUCCAUAUAUAAGUGAGAUCACAAAGUAUGUGUCUUUCUGUGCCUGGCUUAUUUCACUGAACGUAAUGUUCUCCAGGAAAAUAACUGUUAUCUGAGACCCUCGGAACCACCCCAAAAUGAAAAGACCACUAACUCAAGAAAGGUGACAGAUUCUCUGCAGCUUCUACAAGGUUCCCACAGAGGGAUCAGUACAGCCAUUAAAUAGAGCUCUUUCCUCAAAGUAAGAAUUAUUAGCUGGUCCAACUAUGAAGACACAGGAGAAUUAAAAUACAGAAAAGCUGAUUUACAUAAUCUUCUAACAUCUUCCUGGGUUCCCAGCUAUACACUGAAAAAAAGCAGUUGCUGAGUCUACCAACAGCCUUGUCAUGUGAGACAAGGUGAAUUACAUAACUGCAUCAUAAUCUACUUACUACUUCUUAUGGGUUGAAUUGUGUCCUGAAGAAAAAUAUGCUAAAGUCCUCGCACCUGGUACCUGUGAAUGUGACCUUACAUAUAUCUAUAGCACUUGGCCCUCUACCUCACACAAGGUAAGCAUUCGAAAAAUGGUUGAAAGGAAGGAGCUUAGAAAGGAAUAAAUUUCAGGUGAAAUGGUGACCAACUCAAGUUGUGAUCGAAGUUUUACAGAGCAACAGCUCUCAACCACUAAGCCAUGGCACUGGUACAGAACUACCAAUUAUGAAGUACAGACAAUUGCCAUAAGCAACAUUAAGGAUCGAGGUUUAGGAGGAAUUUUCCUUGUUUUUUAAAAUAAACAUAAAAUAGAACUAAUUCAAGGUAAUCCCUAUAAUAAUGACACCCUUACUCACUCACAUUCUGAUGCUUUCUUGAAUGUCAGUGGGAGAAGUAGCAUUAGAGUAACAUACCAGAAUUGCAUCCAACCCUGGAAUACUCACAAAAGAGCAUUUUGUGGGAAAAACAGAUAAGACCUGCUGCUAUAAAAAAAGAGAAGAAAAAGGCCGGGCGCGGUGGCUCAUGCCUGUAAUCCCAGCACUUUGGGAGGCCGAGG